This 500-nucleotide ribosomal RNA is filed under the name uncultured Glomeromycotina. Its description in RNAcentral is "partial small subunit ribosomal RNA". It matches the Rfam family "Eukaryotic small subunit ribosomal RNA", at positions 591 to 1092 of the family's 1831-position model. Lineage: Eukaryota; Fungi; Glomeromycota. The record is from RNAcentral.
CCAAUAGCGUAUAUUAAAGUUGUUGCAGUUAAAAAGCUCGUAGUUGAAUUUCGGGGUUAGUAGGUCGGUCAUGCCACUGGUAUGUACUGGUCUCACUGAUUCCUCCUUCCUGAUGAGCCGUAAUGCCAUUAAUUUGGUGUUGCGGGGAAACUGGACUGUUACUUUGAAAAAAUUAGAGUGUUUAAAGCAGGCUAACGCUUGAAUACAUUAGCAUGGAAUAAUGAAAUAGGACGUUCGAUCCUAUUUUGUUGGUUUCUAGGAUUGACGUAAUGAUUAAUAGGGAUAGUUGGGGGCAUUAGUAUUCAAUUGUCAGAGGUGAAAUUCUUGGAUUUAUUGAAGACUAACUACUGCGAAAGCAUUUGCCAAGGAUGUUUUCAUUAAUCAAGAACGAAAGUUAGGGGAUCGAAGACGAUCAGAUACCGUCGUAGUCUUAACCAUAAACUAUGCCGACUAGGGAUCGGAUGAUGUUAAUUUUUUAAUGACUCAUUCGGCGCCUUACG